This 88-nucleotide transfer RNA is filed under the name Rhodospirillaceae bacterium. RNAcentral describes it as "tRNA-Ser". It matches the Rfam family "tRNA". Rfam says of the family: Transfer RNA (tRNA) molecules are approximately 80 nucleotides in length. Their secondary structure includes four short double-helical elements and three loops (D, anti-codon, and T loops). The record is from RNAcentral. Lineage: Bacteria; Pseudomonadati; Pseudomonadota; Alphaproteobacteria; Rhodospirillales; Rhodospirillaceae. RNAcentral also lists the same sequence under 1 other name.
GGAUGGGUACCCAAGUGGUUGAAGGGACCGGUCUUGAAAACCGGCAGGGGGCAACUCCUCGUGGGUUCGAAUCCCACCCCAUCCGCCA